CCGUCUGUAGCCAAGCGGAAUGGCAAUCGGCUUUUAACCGAUAUAUCGCAGGUUCGAAUCCUGUCAGACGGA
Molecule: transfer RNA, 72 nt
Filed under: Caudoviricetes sp.
Lineage: Duplodnaviria; Heunggongvirae; Uroviricota; Caudoviricetes
Description: tRNA-Lys
Rfam family: tRNA
About the family: Transfer RNA (tRNA) molecules are approximately 80 nucleotides in length.
Source: RNAcentral